RNAcentral lists this ribosomal RNA (372 nucleotides) under uncultured organism. Its description in RNAcentral is "bacterial SSU rRNA". It matches the Rfam family "Bacterial small subunit ribosomal RNA", at positions 526 to 896 of the family's 1533-position model. The record is from RNAcentral.
CGGAGGGUGCGAGCGUUGUUCGGAAUCACCGGGCGUAAAGCGCGUGUAGGCGGCCCACUAAGUCUGAUGUGAAAGCCCGGGGCUCACCCCCGGAAGUGCAUUGGAAACUGGUGGACUCGAGUCCCGGAGAGGAGAGUGGAAUUCCUGGUGUAGCGGUGAAAUGCGUAGAUAUCAGGAGGAACACCGGUGGCGAAGGCGGCUCUCUGGACGGUGACUGACGCUGAGACGCGAAAGCGUGGGGAGCAAACAGGAUUAGAUACCCUGGUAGUCCACGCCGUAAACGAUGAGCACUAGGUGUCGCGGGUAUUGACCCCUGCGGUGCCGACGCUAACGCAUUAAGUGCUCCGCCUGGGGAAUACGGCCGCAAGGUUA